RNAcentral lists this long non-coding RNA (1163 nucleotides) under Daphnia pulicaria. Its description in RNAcentral is "uncharacterized LOC124312612, transcript variant X1". Lineage: Eukaryota; Metazoa; Arthropoda; Branchiopoda; Diplostraca; Daphniidae. The record is from RNAcentral.
AUUCGUUUCCAAUUCCACCAUUCCAUUUCCACCAUUCCAUGUUUUCCUCCAACCCCACCAACCCCAAAAUGCCUCGCCCUAAAUCCCGUCGGGAAAAUAAUAGGCCUCAGUCUAAUCGUCGUGAUCGCGAAGUAUUCGAUCGUGCCCCCGCAGAUCCGAGAGAUUUUCGUGGUAGAAAUGACCCAUCUGGAUACGAUUACAGGGAUCGGGAUGGAUAUAAUAUGCGCGAUACGGCGAUAGGUACUAUCGUGGUAGUAACAGAGACGUACCGGGAGGAUAUCGUCCAUCGGAUGGUGAUCGUGAUAGCCAACCUUAUCGUGGUGUUGAUCGUGGAGGGGAUCGUGGGGAGAAAUUUGUGAAAGGGGAGACAUUUCUACGUGACGGCCUUGGCGGACUUGACUGAGGCCCUUCCGCAAACUUAUCUCAAUUUUUCCACUCUAACGCAACCGGCUCUGAAAAAUGACGAAUUCAUACUCCUUUGGAAAACUAGGCUUCGCUGGUGGAAAUUUUAUCUUCAACAGCCCGUUCUUCUCAACACGACGGGCAUUCAGACGAAACGUUUGUGGAACAGAAGAUUGAAUUUGUCUCCCCCGCUCUGGGAUCGGAACCUUUCGAAGUCUUAAAACUUUACAAACCCGCUGUGUUUGCAGAUCUGCAGUUGAAUGAGGAGACGAAAAAGUCAUUGAUGGUCAAGUUUCAGCGGAAAUCUUCUUGGCCGUGUUUAGUUACGUCCCAGACUCCCAGAUUUGUGUUAUCGCUUCACAAGGCUUAGCUCCGUAUGCUGUUGGUAUUUUGGUUGAAGGCUCCCCUACACCAAUAGUCGAAUUAGAGGAUCUUCGCCGUUUAAUGAGUCUCAAAUUUAAACAGUCGAAAAUUCCGGUCUUGCCAUUAAGCGCUCCUUGGACGACGGCUCAAUGCGACGCUAGAGGAAUGCCUUAUUUAAUAUUUUUGUCAGAUUCGACUUUCGAGCAAGGGAUAUACGGUCACUGGUUUUCUAUCUUUAAUACAUUCGAAUUAAAUAACCAUUCCCUAAUAAUACGUACGAACUUCUGUGUGAAUAAAAGAUACGAUACAUUACGUGGCAUAUUCAUUUAGAAUUGUAAAGAGAAUAAAAGAAUCAUCCUGACCAAAUACCAAAGAUAAAAUAGAGAGUACCAAUGUCC